CCGGCGCACGGGUGAGUAACACGUAUCCAACCUGCCGUCUACUCUUGGACAGCCUUCUGAAAGGAAGAUUAAUACAAGAUGGCAUCAUGAGUCCACAUGUUCACACGAUUAAAGGUAUUCCGGUAGACGAUGGGGAUGCGUUCCAUUAGAUAGUAGGCGGGGUAACGGCCCACCUAGUCUUCGAUGGAUAGGGGUUCUGAGAGGAAGGUCCCCCACAUUGGAACUGAGACACGGUCCAA
Molecule: ribosomal RNA, 239 nt
Filed under: uncultured bacterium
Lineage: Bacteria
Description: partial 16S ribosomal RNA
Rfam family: Bacterial small subunit ribosomal RNA
Source: RNAcentral